Culex quinquefasciatus (southern house mosquito) is the source of this 320-nucleotide long non-coding RNA. RefSeq lists it as uncharacterized. NCBI's taxonomy places the organism in Eukaryota, Metazoa, Arthropoda, Insecta, Diptera, Culicidae. The record is from RefSeq and is a predicted model, not a curated record. The transcript has 2 exons.
UAUUUUUUUUGUUUUGACGGAAGUGGUGGAGUUUUCGUCGCGGAGGAUUUAUUUUGUGGGCAAAUGUGAACCUUUUUGGGUUUUGGAGGGAAUUCUGCUGCCCGGAGGCCAGCCAGUGUCGUAGCGCUAAGGCCGGAAAAAAGCCGAAACGCUGAAUAACCCGGUGCUUAAUUGUAGGUGCAAAAAGUUUGACCCCAAAUACGAUUCGUUUUGGCUGUUCAGAUGGGAGACCGUUUGCUCUCUUAAUGUGAGAGUUGCUGUUCGAAACAAAAUGUUAAUCAUAAUUUACCGGAUACUUAAUUAAAAAUAUAAGACAAAAA